This is a long non-coding RNA of Canis lupus familiaris (dog), 450 nucleotides long. RefSeq lists it as uncharacterized. NCBI's taxonomy places the organism in Eukaryota, Metazoa, Chordata, Mammalia, Carnivora, Canidae. The record is from RefSeq and is a predicted model, not a curated record. The transcript has 3 exons.
CUCGCCGGCGCUAACCUGGCGGCGCGUGGCGACCCCAGCGGGGCCGGGCGGAGGAGGGAGCGGGCAAGGCCGCCCUCGGAGGCCCCUGAGAACCGGGAGGCGGAGCCACACACCCUGAGGACCGGCGAGCUUUAGAAAACUAAUAUGGAAGGAAUGGUCAGUUAUCUUGCUUGUUGGUGCUUGCUCAGGAGCUAAGCAGUGAAAAUCCUUUCAUCCUUGUAUACUAAGAAUGUCUUUGUGCAGGAUCUACAGGAUAAAUCUCUAAAAAUUGGAUUGCUGGGUCAAAGGAAAAGCAUACUUAAAAUUGUAAAAUGCGUUGACAAAUUCCCAUUCAAAAGACUAUUCUAAUCCACACUGCUACCAGCCAUUUUUCUACCCCCUUACCAACAGUGAAUUCUACGAAUCUCUAACUUUGGUUGACCUGAUAGAUAAAAAAAUGGUGUCUCUUUA